UGGGGAAUAUUGGGCAAUGGGCGAAAGCCUGACCCAGCAACGCCGCGUGAAGGAAGAAGGUUUUCGGAUCGUAAACUUCUAUCCUUGGUGAAGAUAAUGACGGUAGCCAAGAAGGAAGCCCCGGCUAACUACGUGCCAGCAGCCGCGGUAAUACGUAGGGGGCAAGCGUUGUCCGGAAUGAUUGGGCGUAAAGGGCGCGUAGGCGGCCUGGUAAGUCUGGAGUGAAAGUCCUGCUUUUAAGGUGGGAAUUGCUUUGGAUACUGUCGGGCUUGAGUGCAGGAGAGGUAAGUGGAAUUCCCGGUGUAGCGGUGAAAUGCGUAGAGAUCGGGAGGAACACCAGUGGCGAAGGCGACCUGCUGGACAUUAACUGACGCUGAGGCGCGAAAGCGUGGGGAGCAAACA
RNAcentral lists this ribosomal RNA (402 nucleotides) under uncultured prokaryote. RNAcentral describes it as "bacterial SSU rRNA". It matches the Rfam family "Bacterial small subunit ribosomal RNA", at positions 355 to 774 of the family's 1533-position model. The record is from RNAcentral.